UAAAUUCUUUGUGAUUUGUGAAUGUUUUUUUUUUUUAGAAUGUCCUGUGACGGGGGCAACAGGGGCUGCGGUUGUGUCUGGUGUUGGUCUUGAUCCAACAUGUUUGUCUGUAAUUAUGAAGUGUUCCUGAAGAUCUUAAUUAGCUGCUUCAGAUAUAUUUGCAGGAAGGAAAAUGGCCGAAAUAGAGAUUAUUCCAGUUGAUGGCACACAUGUGGGGAACCCACCCAGAUUUACCCUAAAGAUAGUAACUGAGCAGACACAUGCAACAGAGCUUGUGGAGAUGUUAACUCGUAGAGGUCACUCUAUUGAGGCUCCAGAUCGCCAUAGUAACUCUGCUGUUACAGAAGAUGAUGACAACGAUCAAGAUUACACAGAUGCAUUACAGAAUAUAUAAAUCUUUGUGUAGAUUAGGACAUUUUUAAUCACAAUAUUUAGUUUACUUCAAUUACUUAAAUGAGAAAUACAUAA
Molecule: long non-coding RNA, 468 nt
Organism: Cyprinus carpio (common carp)
Lineage: Eukaryota; Metazoa; Chordata; Actinopteri; Cypriniformes; Cyprinidae
Exons: 2
Source: RefSeq, a predicted model, not a curated record